RNAcentral lists this unclassified non-coding RNA (1088 nucleotides) under Hevea brasiliensis (rubber tree). The record is from RNAcentral. Lineage: Eukaryota; Viridiplantae; Streptophyta; Magnoliopsida; Malpighiales; Euphorbiaceae.
GGAAAUUGGUUGCAAGAGCAGCAAGGUUGGCUUUGAUAGCUGAGGAGGUGGGUUUUCUUGAUGUGAUUCCGAUGAUAAGGAAGUACUUGAAGGAAACAAUUGAGCCAUGGUUGGAGGGUACAUUUGGUGCCAAUGGUUUUCUGUAUGAUGAUAAAUGGGGUGGAAUUGUCACCAAACAAGGUUCGAGUGAUUCUGGUGCAGAUUUUGGAUUUGGAGUUUAUAAUGAUCACCAUUAUCAUAUAGGCUACUUUCUUUAUGGCAUUGCUGUUCUUGCAAAAUUUGACCCAUUGUGGGGGAGGAAGUUUAGGCCACAAGCUUAUACUCUUAUGGCUGAUUUUAUGAACUUGGGCAGGCGGUCAAAUUCAUAUUAUCCACGUUUGAGGUGCUUUGAUUUGUAUAAAUUACACUCUUGGGCUGGAGGCCUAACUGAAUUUGCCGAUGGACGGAACCAGGAGAGCACAAGUGAGGCAGUGAAUGCAUACUAUUCAGCAGCUUUGAUGGGAUUAGCCUAUGGAGACACCCAUCUUGUGGCCAUUGGAUCAAUGCUUACUGCAAUGGAGAUUCAUGCAGCACAAACAUGGUGGCAUGUUAGAGAGGGUGAUAAUUUUUACGAGGAAGAUUUCACUAGAGAGAAUAGGGUGCUGGGUGUUUUGUGGGCUAACAAGAGGGAUAGUGGGCUUUGGUUUGCACCUGCUGAAUGGAGAGAGUGUAGGCUUGGAAUUCAAUUAUUGCCCUUGUUGCCUAUCAGUGAGGUUUUGUUUUCUGAUGUGAGCUUUGUGAGGGAGCUUGUGAAUUGGACAUUACCAGCUUUAGGAAGAGAAGGAGUGGGAGAAGGGUGGAAAGGAUUUGUCUAUGCCUUGGAAGCAAUCUAUGACAAAGAAAGUGCCUUGAUGAAGAUCAGAAACUUGAAUGGUCAUGAUGAUGGCAACUCACUUUCUAAUCUUUUAUGGUGGAUUUACAGCAGGGGUUAUGAGGAUGAAGAAUGGUGUGAAGGAGGAGGAAAAUUCUGCUGGUUUGGUCACUAUUGUCACUGAAUUUGUUUCCUUAUAAUUGAUACAGGAUUGAAUAAGAAAUGAAGUCAACAAUCA